Molecule: unclassified non-coding RNA, 235 nt
Filed under: Glomeraceae sp.
Lineage: Eukaryota; Fungi; Glomeromycota; Glomeromycetes; Glomerales; Glomeraceae
Description: partial contains 5.8S ribosomal RNA and internal transcribed spacer 2
Rfam family: 5.8S ribosomal RNA (bases 1-71)
Source: RNAcentral
GUGAAUCAUCGAAUUUUUGAACGCAAAUUGCACUCUCUGGUAUUCCGGAGAGUAUGCCUGUUUGAGGGUCAGUUUAAAUAAAAAUCGGUGUGGUUGCUGCCUUUCGUGGUGACGCACCGGAUUUGGGUCGUCGUGCCUUCGGUUAAGUGACCUCAAAUGUUGCAUGCUAUUUUUCGAACUUAUUUAAAUGAUUUUACGGACGAGUGCGAUAGCGGAUACUAGGUGCGGUCAUCCU